RNAcentral lists this long non-coding RNA (218 nucleotides) under Elaeis guineensis (African oil palm). RNAcentral describes it as "long non-coding RNA (EGUI_LNC057983)". Lineage: Eukaryota; Viridiplantae; Streptophyta; Magnoliopsida; Arecales; Arecaceae. The record is from RNAcentral.
CAUUGAGCCAGAUCAAGAUCUAUCUUGGUCUAAUUAAAGAUAUGGACUUCACCAACUAUAACUAUUGAGAAUUGAUCAAGAAAAGAAUUGACCCAAUCAGGAUUAACAAAUAAUUAGAUUAAUUAAUUACUUAACACAGUUCAUUAUCUAUAUCAAGCCCUAGGUCUAACCCUAUUAAACAAACCUAACUUGAGCUAACCCAUAAACCCAUGAUUUAU